GCGAUAUAUAAAAGUGGACAUUGGGAAUAAUUUAAUGAGUUGGCUUAGAAAUCAAGAGAAGUCAUGUGCGGUUUUAAUGUUUCUUAAAUUCUGACAGACCAUCCAAAGAAGAGAACAUGCACAGUAAAAACAACAGUACUUAAAAACCUAAUAUCUUUCAAUCUCAAUGUCCCAAAAUAAAAUAAUUAAUUAUCUAAUUGGGGAGUUGUUGAGUGGACAAAUUAACAAUCUAAUCAAAGAGGGCCUGAUCUAAUUGAUUAAGAAGUUAAUCAUUCUCUAAUGUAUGUUUAGGUAUUAUUAAUAUAUUUACCAGGAUCUCUAGCUGCUAAAAAUAUAUAGUAAUGCAAGCAAGCAAGCAUCAGAUAAACUAAUCAAAGAUCUACAAAAG
RNAcentral lists this unclassified non-coding RNA (388 nucleotides) under Hevea brasiliensis (rubber tree). The record is from RNAcentral. Lineage: Eukaryota; Viridiplantae; Streptophyta; Magnoliopsida; Malpighiales; Euphorbiaceae.